This 301-nucleotide ribosomal RNA is filed under the name uncultured bacterium. Its description in RNAcentral is "partial 16S ribosomal RNA". It matches the Rfam family "Bacterial small subunit ribosomal RNA", at positions 509 to 807 of the family's 1533-position model. The record is from RNAcentral.
CAGCCGCCGCGGGAAUACAGAGGGUGCGAGCGUUAAUCGGAUUUACUGGGCGUAAAGCGUGCGUAGGCGGCUAAUUGAGUCGGAUGUGAAAUCCCCGAGCUUAACUUGGGAAUUGCAUUCGAUACUGGUUAGCUAGAGUGUGGGAGAGGAUGGUAGAAUUCCAGGUGUAGCGGUGAAAUGCGUAGAGAUCUGGAGGAAUACCGAUGGCGAAGGCAGCCAUCUGGCCUAACACUGACGCUGAGGUACGAAAGCAUGGGGAGCAAACAGGAUUAGAGACCCCUGUAGUCCCUGUCUCUUAUAC